Molecule: long non-coding RNA, 786 nt
Filed under: Gallus gallus (chicken)
Lineage: Eukaryota; Metazoa; Chordata; Aves; Galliformes; Phasianidae
Description: lncRNA (ENSGALG00010012146.1)
Source: RNAcentral
GUUUUCCCACUACACAGGAAGGGGCUGGGGGAGAGAGAUAUUUUUGCAGUGUGGUCAUGUGAAAGGCAAAUUUCACGUGGAUUUUCAUGCAGACCUAUAAAUCAGUCCAUGUUCACUCUAAAAGUUCACGGUCCUUAGCAAACCUCUCAGUGAACUGGGGCUGAGCUUAGAGAUUGUAAAGAAACCUGAAACCAAGCAAGUUUCAACUAAUUUCAUAUUUUGCCGUGAACAUUUUGCUCAGGUCUAACUUGUUUGCUUAGGAGUUUAGGCAAGUACAACCGUGUCCUUUGGGAGAAAAAAAAUGCUCGGAGAAAUCAAAUACACCACACAAAAAGCAGCACUGCUGAUUUGUGCCCAAAGAUAUGCUCUUGGAAGGAAGACCGGUGAGAACCAGAGAUGUUACGCACUGAGAAGGAGUCACUGCAGGCCAGAUCCGCUUUGCUGCAGUAAAUUCUCAGCGCUGGUGCAGAUGAGCAGCCAUUCACUCAACACAGUGUCUGGGCUUGUGAGAAAAGAAGUGACUCAUGGCCAAGGUCAUGCUGUAGUCUGGGAGGACUGCCAGGGAAGGGAGAAAGCUGCACUUGGCCUGGCCUGUGGUGAGUUCACUCCUUGCGUGGGGCGGAAGACACAACCCACCUCAAGAGGAUCGGAGAGCCCUGCGUGGGCUGAAUUGGUUAUCUGGGAGCUGGCAGCCAUGCGCUCCCACUCCUGAGCUGCAAAUAAUGAGUCUGGGAGUAGGAAGUCAGCCUCACAUGGGAUGGCUCCAGAGGUUUUUAGCGCAUGUGG